CCUACGGGAGGCAGCAGUGGGGAAUAUUGCACAAUGGGGGAAACCCUGAUGCAGCGACGCCGCGUGAGUGAAGAAGUAUUUCGGUAUGUAAAGCUCUAUCAGCAGGGAAGAAAAUGACGGUACCUGACUAAGAAGCCCCGGCUAACUACGUGCCAGCAGCCGCGGUAAUACGUAGGGGGCAAGCGUUAUCCGGAUUUACUGGGUGUAAAGGGGGCGUAGGUGGCAUGGUAAGCCAGAAGUGAAAGCCCAGGGCUCAACUCUGUGGAUUGCUUUUGGAACUAUCAAGCUAGAGUGCUGGAGGGGUAAGCGGAAUUGCGAGUGUAGCGGUGAAAUGCGUAGAUAUUAGGAGGAACACCGGUGGCGAAGGCGGCUUACUGGACAGAAACUGACACUGAGGCUCGAAAGCGUGGGGAGCAAACAGGAUUAGAUACCCUGUAGUC
This 440-nucleotide ribosomal RNA is filed under the name uncultured bacterium. Its description in RNAcentral is "partial 16S ribosomal RNA". It matches the Rfam family "Bacterial small subunit ribosomal RNA", at positions 338 to 795 of the family's 1533-position model. The record is from RNAcentral.